CGGAGAGUUUGAUCCUGGCUCAGGAUGAACGCUGGCGGCGUGCCUAAUACAUGCAAGUCGAACGCUUUGUGGUUCAACUGAUUUGAAGAGCUUGCUCAGAUAUGACGAUGGACAUUGCAAAGAGUGGCGAACGGGUGAGUAACACGUGGGAAACCUACCUCUUAGCAGGGGAUAACAUUUGGAAACAGAUGCUAAUACCGUAUAACAAUAGCAACCGCAUGGUUGCUACUUAAAAGAUGGUUCUGCUAUCACUAAGAGAUGGUCCCGCGGUGCAUUAGUUAGUUGGUGAGGUAAUGGCUCACCAAGACGAUGAUGCAUAGCCGAGUUGAGAGACUGAUCGGCCACAAUGGGACUGAGACACGGCCCAUACUCCUACGGGAGGCAGCAGUAGGGAAUCUUCCACAAUGGGCGAAAGCCUGAUGGAGCAACGCCGCGUGUGUGAUGAAGGGUUUCGGCUCGUAAAACACUGUUGUAAGAGAAGAAUGACAUUGAGAGUAACUGUUCAAUGUGUGACGGUAUCUUACCAGAAAGGAACGGCUAAAUACGUGCCAGCAGCCGCGGUAAUACGUAUGUUCCAAGCGUUAUCCGGAUUUAUUGGGCGUAAAGCGAGCGCAGACGGUUAUUUAAGUCUGAAGUGAAAGCCCUCAGCUCAACUGAGGAAUUGCUUUGGAAACUGGAUGACUUGAGUGCAGUAGAGGAAAGUGGAACUCCAUGUGUAGCGGUGAAAUGCGUAGAUAUAUGGAAGAACACCAGUGGCGAAGGCGGCUUUCUGGACUGUAACUGACGUUGAGGCUCGAAAGUGUGGGUAGCAAACAGGAUUAGAUACCCUGGUAGUCCACACCGUAAACCAUGAGUG
This 856-nucleotide ribosomal RNA is filed under the name uncultured bacterium. RNAcentral's name for it is "bacterial SSU rRNA". It matches the Rfam family "Bacterial small subunit ribosomal RNA", at positions 1 to 815 of the family's 1533-position model. The record is from RNAcentral.